GAGCUGGAACGUUUUGUUUAUCGUGCCAAAGAAGUUGUUACAGCUUCGAUGUGGCACGAUUGUGUUCACUGUUAACACGCAGACUUUUUACAUAUCAAAGCACGCAGAUAGAAGUAAGGACGUCGUAGCGUAGUGCAGGGUUAGAGUAAUGACAAAGAAAGACGUCCAGCCUCCAUGCUUACUUUUAACAAAAAAGAAGUUAUGGAUUCUAACGACGGUAGGAAGAGACGCAAGGUAAGCGGCUUUGUGCGGGGCUGCAGGCGGAGUGUGGCCGGAAAGAUGAAACGAGAGAUGAGCAAAGUCCUGCGCUCCAUAGCGCUGGACGAUAACAACCGUAAAGAGCUCGUGCAGGGGGAAGAGGACGACUACGACUGCUUCCCUAUCAGUUUCCUCCGCAGUGACCUAUUGGAGCCCCACUUAGUCGUGGCUCCCCGGUACAGCCUGCUACGAGAGGUCGGUCGUGGAAGCUACGGGGUGGUGUACGAGGCUGUAGCUCGGAAAACAGGGGCCAGGGUAGCGGUGAAGAGGCUGCAGUGUGACGCCCCGGAGAAAGUGGAAUUGGCGCUAGCCGAAUUCUGGGCCUUGACGAGCUUGGAGAACCGACACCAGAAUGUAGUCCAGCUGGAAGAGUGUGUCCUGCAGAGGAACGGCUUGGCCCAGAAGAUGAGCCACGGAAACAAGAAAUCAAAGCAGUAUUUGCGGCUCGUGGAGACUUCACUCAAAGGAGAACGUAUCCUGGGCUACUCGGAGGAACCAUGUUACCUUUGGUUUGUUAUGGAGUUUUGUGACGGUGGGGACCUUAACCAGUACAUUUUGUCCCGCCGGCCUGAUCCCCAGACCAACAGGAACUUUAUGCGCCAGCUGACCAGUGCUGUGGCUUUCCUGCACAGGAACAGUAUCGUCCACCGCGACCUUAAACCAGACAACAUUCUUAUCUCACAGAAGUCUGGUUUUCCUAUUCUUAAAGUGGCUGACUUUGGACUCAGUAAGGUUUGUGCUGGUCUGACCUCCAGAAACGGUGAAGAACAUCCCGUAGCAGGAGCAGGUGCCAGAGGGAGCAUCCAGAACAGCUCGGUCAACAUAAACAAAUUCUGGUUGUCAUCAGCCUGCGGCUCGGACUUCUACAUGGCUCCUGAGGUGUGGGAGGGUCACUACACAGCCAAGGCUGACAUCUUUGCUCUGGGUAUCAUCAUCUGGGCAAUGAUCGAAAGGAUUACUUUUAUUGAUGCAGAGUCCAAGCGUGAACUGCUGGGUACUUAUGUUCGGCAAGGCUCGGAAAUUGUCCCAGUUGGGGAGGCUUUGCUGGAGAACCCCAAGAUGGUGCUCCAUAUUCCUCAGAAGGCCAGAAGCUCAAUGUCUGAGGAGGAGAAGAAACUCCUCCACGAGAUGCUUGCAGUAAACCCUCAGGACCGACCGGACGCCCUCCAGCUGGAGGUGCGGAUGGACCAAGUCACAUGUGCUGUUUGACAGACAGCACUUCCUAUAACCUCUUAUUUCCCUUACCACUCAAAGAAGGGACCUUUCAACUUCCCAGGUAUCGACUCCAGUGGAAAAACUGACCCUGACAAGCUGAAUUGUGAGGAAUCUUCAAUCAUAAUUUGAGUGCGGAGUCACAGACCGCUCACUCCAAAACAGUCCGGACCAGUCUGCAAGUCAAACCACAACGACGCACUUCCAACUCCACGUAGUUCCAACACAGUCACUGUGGUGCUUUGGACUGGGGACGAUUGGAGCACAUAGUUUCUCUGAGAGCGACCUGGGCAUGAAACUGUGCGUCUGUUAUGUAGUGGUGGACUUUUGUUCCCAUCCUUCCCAGUAUAGGCCUGUUCUUCCUUAAUUGUGUAAGGUCUGUGACUGUGGCACAGGUUACUGUAUGUCAUUGCACUCUACUGUACCAGUAUUCAAUCAUUGUACUAAUGAUAGCAGUAGCUGUAAACGGUUGACCUCCCAGUGCAACCUUGUGCCUUAACAAUGAUGUACACUAAGUGCACUUUGAUUUCUAAAACUAUUUUGUGGGUCGCUUUUGAAAGGAAAGAAGGAAAUUUACUGGAACCACUUUCAUCUCAUGUAAGCUGAGCAACUGAGUCUUCUGCUUUCAGUGGGGUUUGACACAAUAUUCCAGGCUGCAUUAAUAUCAUAUGGGAACGUGCCCCCCUCUGUCCAAACACUGAAGUACAAUCAUGAAACUGAAUCUGAGACAUUGAUUUAAACCAAUGACAGGUGAAGUGAUUAAUGUUGAUUACAUUGAGGCACAGUGAGUAGCACUGUUCCCAAUGUCUGGUUUCAUGGAGGCCCUCUCUCAAAUCCAUCGGGGCUCGAGGCAUCCCAACAUGCUAAUGCCAGACACAACAGGACACCCCCAGAGUUUCUUCCUGUCAGUGUCCUGACAGGUCGGAGGUGUUUCGGGGUCGUGAUCAGUGUCGCACUGGAGAAACACUGUGCGCAUAUGAUCAGUUUUGUGCUCUGAAGGAAAAGUAACAGGCCUGUAUCAGCUCCACACAACCCUUCAGCAGGGAGUUCACACUAUCCUAUUGGACAUUUGUUCCUGAUUAAUCCAAAGAGCACGUGAUGGAAAAGCCCAUCUAUGUGGUAACGUGUAGUCAUCCAUGUUGAAAAGAUUCUGAGGAUGGUUCUGUAUUCUUUUGAAUGGUGCAGCGUGAAUCAUGUGUAUCGGGUCAUAUCUAAGCAGCACUGACCCGUUUAUGGCAGAAGGACCUCUGAUUAGCAUCUGGAGACCAUUCCCCAAACCAGCCACUGAAGUGUGUUAGACUCUUUGCAGUGUCGAGUGAUGCUGUGGUUGGACAGACGCUUGUGGUUGGCUGAUCGGAGCCCCUGUAACUCCUGGGAAACUUUUGGGAUUUUUGACUUGAUUUGUGAAAACUGGUCACUCCAGAAAAUGAAUAAAGCCAUGAGGCUUGAAGGAAAAGAGCAAAAUACAACACAGCAACUUUAGAAGGAGAGCGCAGUGUUAGAUAGCUCUUCUAGCCUUCACUCCAGCAUAGACCCGAGGAGCUCCUUUGGCUUUCACAUCACUGUAUUACAUGGUAGUAUAAUACAGUAGAUUUUGAGGUGUUUUGUGAUGUACCUCUACCUCAUUCUCUGCACUCUGAAACCUCUUUCUUAGCUUUACUGUCUCUGUAGCAAACUUAUCUUAGUCUGUGAUACAAGACGCACUUUGAGUGGGAUAGAUUUUUACCUCAGACUCAAUGACUUAUUUUAAUUCAACCUCACUUUUAUUUAU
This is an RNA transcript of Haplochromis burtoni (Burton's mouthbrooder), 3241 nucleotides long. It is a transcript of the gene named serine/threonine-protein kinase 35, with no coding region annotated. The transcript is spliced from 3 exons. NCBI's taxonomy places the organism in Eukaryota, Metazoa, Chordata, Actinopteri, Cichliformes, Cichlidae. The record is from RefSeq and is a predicted model, not a curated record.